GUUUUAAAAAGACUUCUUACAAGCAGUGUUGAAAACAGAACCAGUAUUAGUCAAUCUUGUGACAGUCACAUGUUUAAUUAGAUAUUUGGACUGUAUGCUUACCAGAAUGCUUAAGCCUGUCUUGAAGAGAUGCUAACACAUUUAUUUAAAAACUGCUGUUUUAGUUUUGUAUACAAAGGUUGUUUCUGUCUGACCCUUGACCUUUCCAAACCCAACUACAUUUCCUUUCUUAGGACACCAUAAAGUCUUUCUACCCAUUUGAAGGGGGGGGGGGG
Non-coding RNA from Biomphalaria pfeifferi, 275 nucleotides. The record is from the annotation of a GenBank genome assembly. Lineage: Eukaryota; Metazoa; Mollusca; Gastropoda; Planorbidae.